CGCACCUCGGACUUUCGAGCGGGUGGAAUUUCACCCGCUCGACACCCUCUCCUCCCGUCGUAUUUCACCCUUUUCCUUCUCUGCAGCUGCUCCUCCCUGACAAAGAAACUUCUCACCGUCUUCUCACCGUCGCACCAAAGGCCUUUCUCAACGUCGCUGCUCCGCCAUUUCUGCUCCGCUCCUCUGCCGAUUCGCCAACGCCACAGUCGCCUCUCAUCUCCUGCUUAGAAACCUGAUGCGAAGGCGCAAGCCUUGAAAGCAGCAAACAAAGUGAAGUCAGGGCAAAUAAAAAGAAUAUUAAGGCAGCUGUUAGGACAAAAAAGCGCAGGCUUGAAGAUGCCAAGUUGAUUCAUUUGCAGGGUUUUCUCUUUCAUUAAUUCAACCUUGAGAAACAAGCUGAUCAGUUAAUCCUGACCUCUCUGUUGCCGGAAUAGAGAGAUUGGUUUGAUAAGAAUUAAGAUUUGGCGUGCUUCGAUGGAGACCGUGGAGAGGUGGGGAGGAUCAUGAAGAGGUUUCACAGCAAGGGAGUGCACUUUAUGGCUAAGAUGUAGAGUUUGGUUGUUGAAUUUUUAGGGUUUGGGGGAGUUGGUACUCGUUAAUACAGAGUCUGCAGUGUAUAUGCGUUCUGUUCUGGUUUCAUGGCCGACCAUAUGCUGUUAUUUGGUAGUAUUGUACACAAUGAAAUGAAGUGAUAAUUUAUUGGUAAA
This is a long non-coding RNA of Nymphaea colorata (pocket water lily), 707 nucleotides long. RefSeq lists it as uncharacterized. The transcript has 2 exons. The record is from RefSeq and is a predicted model, not a curated record. NCBI's taxonomy places the organism in Eukaryota, Viridiplantae, Streptophyta, Magnoliopsida, Nymphaeales, Nymphaeaceae.